ACACUCUCUCCACCAGGCCUGACCAAAGGUCUGGCUAGGCUGAUGGUUACGAAAGAGAGGGAGAAAGAGAAGAGACUUAGGGGACCCCUCCCCCGCAAGCAAUCCUCCACGGGGAAGGCUGGCCGUGGGAAGCUGUCCCUACCCAGUGCAGACUCGAGUCUGGCUUGAGAGCCCUGGCCCACCUCUGGACAGGGUCCUGAUCCAAGGCUGGCGCUUCAUCUCAGGGCAGGGGCAAGGUGGGGGGACCCUGCCUGUCUGCCUGGAAGACACCCACAUGGCUUCCUUCGAUUCGUCCUGCAGAUCUCCCUGGCAUCACUUUCUGAGACACCGUACUCAACCCCCUCCAACAGGGAAAGCCCCCGCGCUAUGUCCUGACUCCCCCAGCUGCGCCUGGCUCCCCCACCUGUGCCUGGCUCCUCCAGAGACACCUGUUCCAGCCCAGUGUGCGGUGUGCUCAUUGUGCCAUCUCCUUGGGUGGAGUGAUGGCUCCAUGAGGGCAGGCAGGUUGUCUACUCUGUUCACUGUUUAAAGCAGGGCCCUGCCCGAAGGAGGUGCGCAAUACCUUCCGGGCAAAUAAAUGAAUGAAUGGAUGAACUAAAGGAAUUGGGAGGGGGAGUAGGAAGAGCACACUUAAAGCUCAGGCAGGUGCCGGGCGUGGUGGCUCACGCCUGUAAUCCCAGCAUUU
RNAcentral lists this long non-coding RNA (685 nucleotides) under Homo sapiens (human). Its description in RNAcentral is "non-protein coding lnc-TMEM189-UBE2V1-3:5". The record is from RNAcentral. Lineage: Eukaryota; Metazoa; Chordata; Mammalia; Primates; Hominidae.